GAUGAACGCUAGCUACAGGCUUAACACAUGCAAGUCGAGGGGCAGCGGGAUUGAAGCUUGCUUCAAUUGCCGGCGACCGGCGCACGGGUGAGUAGCGCGUAUCCAACCUUCCGUACACUCAGGGAUAGCCUUUCGAAAGAAAGAUUAAUACCUGAUGGUAUGAUGAGAUUGCAUGAUAGCAUCAUUAAAGAUUUAUCGGUGUACGAUGGGGAUGCGUUCCAUUAGGUAGUAGGCGGGGUAACGGCCCACCUAGCCAACGAUGGAUAGGGGUUCUGAGAGGAAGGUCCCCCACAUUGGAACUGAGACACGGUCCAAACUCCUACGGGAGGCAGCAGUGAGGAAUAUUGGUCAAUGGACGAGAGUCUGAACCAGCCAAGUAGCGUGAAGGAUGAAGGUCCUACGGAUUGUAAAACUUCUUUUAUAAGGGAAUAAACCCUCCACGUGUGGGAGCUUGUAUGUACCUUAUGAAUAAGCAUCGGCUAACUCCGUGCCAGCAG
RNAcentral lists this ribosomal RNA (497 nucleotides) under uncultured bacterium. RNAcentral's name for it is "bacterial SSU rRNA". It matches the Rfam family "Bacterial small subunit ribosomal RNA", at positions 28 to 514 of the family's 1533-position model. The record is from RNAcentral.